UGAGGGAUAUUGGGCAAUGGGCGCAAGCCUGACCCAGCGACGCCGCGUGGAGGACGAAGGGCUUCGGCUCGUAAACUCCUUUUCCCGUGGACGAGACAAGGACGGUACACGGGGAAUAAGUCUCGGCUAACUACGUGCCAGCAGCCGCGGUAAAACGUAGGAGGCAAGCGUUAUCCGGAAUCACUGGGCGUAAAGGGCGUCUAGGCGGCACGAUAAGCGAGGUGUGAAAGCUCCUGGCUCAACUAGGAGAGUGCGCUUCGAACUGUCGAGCUACGAGGGCAGGCGAAGGGGGUGGAAUUCCCGGUGGAGUGGUGGAAUGCGUAGAGAUCGGGAGGAACACCCGUGGCGAAAGCGGCCCCCUAGCCUGAACCUGACGCUGAAGCGCGAAAGCGUGGGGAGCAAACGGG
Molecule: ribosomal RNA, 407 nt
Filed under: uncultured bacterium
Lineage: Bacteria
Description: bacterial SSU rRNA
Rfam family: Bacterial small subunit ribosomal RNA
Source: RNAcentral